AGCGGAUUAGCGGCGGACGGGUGAGUAACACGUGAGUAACCUGCCUUAGACAUUGGGAUAGCCUUGGGAAACCGGGAUUAAUACCAAAUAAAAUCAUAAUGACACAUGUCAUAACGAUCAAAACUCCGGUGGUCUAAGAUGGACUCGCGUCCCAUUAGCUAGUUGGUAGAGUAAAAGCCUACCAAGGCGACGAUGGGUAGCCGGCCUGAGAGGGUGAACGGCCACAUUGGAACUGAGAAACGGUCCAA
Molecule: ribosomal RNA, 248 nt
Filed under: uncultured Eubacteriales bacterium
Lineage: Bacteria; Bacillati; Bacillota; Clostridia; Eubacteriales
Description: uncultured Clostridiales bacterium partial 16S ribosomal RNA
Rfam family: Bacterial small subunit ribosomal RNA
Source: RNAcentral